Molecule: long non-coding RNA, 2008 nt
Organism: Cavia porcellus (domestic guinea pig)
Lineage: Eukaryota; Metazoa; Chordata; Mammalia; Rodentia; Caviidae
Exons: 4
Source: RefSeq, a predicted model, not a curated record
GGUUGGCCUUAGGUACAGGUUCCAACUCAUUACCCAAAUGGCAGUCUGGGAAGCCACCUGCUUCCCAGAGCUGUCUCCCCCAGCAGACAGCAUUGAACUAGAGGCUGGAGCGUGACUGGGAAUAUGCAGUUAAGGCAUGCUCAUAAAAUUUUCAAAACAUGCUGCUGUGUUCUGGAGGCAGAAUCUGUACCUUUUGAUUGCUUUUACCACCUGCCAUGACUCCUGUUUGAUAGUUCAGAUUAUCAGCUGCUUCUCAUGUCUCUAGGCGAACUGCGAAGUCAGUUUUUCAAAUGAGAAGAGAAAGUACACAGAGCACCUUCAAAUUGGAGUUCUCAUUGGAAGUCUAUGAACUCACCAGACAACCCUAGAAUAUACUAAGCUUCAAAUCUCAACUUGGUGGUUGGUCCAGGACUAUUCAUGCAAAACUUUGGAUGCUGUCUCUGAUUCUCAGCUGAGCUGGAUUUUCUUCAGCUACAGAGCGGAUUGACAAGAUCUCUUUCCUGACUAGGUGUUCCUGUAUGUGCCUGAGAUAAAUCAUAAAUUUAAUUUUCAUGACAGCCCCAUGAGGUCAGCACCACUGGGGCAGGACUUCUGUCCACCAUGGUCCCUGCACCCUGAGUGUUUUGAAAAGUUCGUGGCCCACAGUGCUUCCUGACUGAGUGAAUCUAUCCAGUAUGUUUGGCCCUGAAGCAGACCUGCAGUCUAUCCAGUAGACAGAAAUACUACUGGGAAGAGAGAGAAAAUCUCAUUCAGAAUGAGAGCGUUUGUGUUACUCCUUCUACCACUGGUCUGCAUACAGGUUCUGCCUUGGCCACUCAGGCUCCCUUCCACCCCAGGAAUGACAGACAAGCCAUAUGAGAAGGAAGCGUUGCUAUGGUGCCAUCACCUUAUCCUUUCCUGUCUCUCUGUUUCUCCAUUUUGCUUUGGAUAGAGGUUUGCAUGAUUUCAUCUCCAAAUAUUCAGUCAUUUUAAUUCUUAACCUGGAGUUUUAGCCUUCCAGACAAUGGCCAUCUGUCCACUGUAGAUUUCUUCUCCCUUUUUAAUUUUUAAAAAAUUUUUAUUUAAAAGGAAAAAAGAAAAUCAAAACAAAACAGUAUAGGGUACAAAUAAUAUAGAAUUACAAAAAAAAAAAACAGUAAGAAAUCACUAGUUAAUAGAUUACAUAUUGUCAUCUUAGAAAUAGUUGUUCAAGUUACAGGAUUAAAGAUACAAAGUGGACAUUCAAACAGUGAGACUGCAAACAGUUGUGUUCAAUGAUCCAACAAAAACUCAGUAAUAUGGUCAUCUAUCUUAACACACCUAAACACACUUCCAGUUGUAUCCUCUAGAGCACUUUUUUUCUCUCUUUUUUACAACAAAAUUUACACAUUUUGGGUUUUAUUACUACCAUAGUUCUUAUUACUUUUUCCUUUUUAAUUUUUUAAAGUCCCCUUUCUUUGUAUGUGUGUGGUACUCAGUGAAUGACCAUUCUGUCUUAGAAUUUAGAUGAUACAGGGAAAAGGAAGAAGUAAAGCAACUCCAUGGCCACUUCCACCUAAGUCUCACCAUUCUCAUCACUGUUUCCUGGAUUCUUUGUCACUGGGUCAAUGAAUUUCUGCACAAGUGCAAGAAAAAAUAAACUUUAAAGAGUUUUUUAAUUGUUGUAGGAAAUUAAAACUUAUAUAUACAUUGAAAAAAUAGUGCCAUGAAUUCCUCCCAGGGCAGCCAGGAAUUUCUAGAGCUCUAACUUCCUUCUGUCCCUACAAAAUAAAGGAGUGCUUCUCUGUCUUCUGUAAAGAGAAUCAGUUUAAAAAGUCUCCAUUGCUUCAUGUACAAUAAUGCAAAAACACAAGGCUUUGUUGUGCUGAGACCUGAUUUGCCUUGAGAGAAGGUAAAAGCAGAAGGGUCUAUUCUUCCGUAAAGAAAGAUACUGCAGUGUGUUCAUGGAGUAGACUCUAGAACUAGUGAGAGUACUGAACGUGAGAAUGUAGCAGAGGAAGGAGAUAUGCCCUAAACGCACUAGAAUCUU